GAGGGUAUAGCUCAGAAGUAGAGUGCAGAUGCCUGAAGUCCUGGGUUCAAUCCCCAGUACCUCCG
RNAcentral lists this transfer RNA (65 nucleotides) under Camelus bactrianus (Bactrian camel). It matches the Rfam family "tRNA". Rfam says of the family: Transfer RNA (tRNA) molecules are approximately 80 nucleotides in length. Their secondary structure includes four short double-helical elements and three loops (D, anti-codon, and T loops). Lineage: Eukaryota; Metazoa; Chordata; Mammalia; Artiodactyla; Camelidae. The record is from Rfam by way of RNAcentral. RNAcentral also lists the same sequence under 1 other name.